GUAGGUGGCAAGCGUUAUCCGGAAUUAUUGGGCGUAAAGCGCGCGCAGGCGGUUCUUUAAGUCUGAUGUGAAAGCCCACGGGCUCAACCGUGGAGGGUCAUUGGAAACUGGAGAACUUGAGUACAGAAGAGGAAAGCGGAAUUCCACGUGUAGCGGUGAAAUGCGUAGAGAUGUGGAGGAACACCAGUGGCGAAGGCGGCUUUCUGGUCUGUAACUGACGCUGAGGCGCGAAAGCGUGGGGAGCAAACAGGAUUAGAUACCCUGGUAGUCCACGCCGUAAACGAUGAGUGCUAAGUGUUAGGGGGUUUCCGCCCCUUAGUGCUGCAGCUAACGCAUUAAGCACUCCGCCUGGGGAGUACGGCCGCAAGGCUG
This 372-nucleotide ribosomal RNA is filed under the name uncultured organism. Its description in RNAcentral is "partial 16S ribosomal RNA". It matches the Rfam family "Bacterial small subunit ribosomal RNA", at positions 527 to 896 of the family's 1533-position model. The record is from RNAcentral.